GACGAACGCUGGCGGCGUGCUUAACACAUGCAAGUCGAACGGAAAGGCCCUGCUUUUGUGGGGUGCUCGAGUGGCGAACGGGUGAGUAACACGUGAGUAACCUGCCCUUGACUUUGGGAUAACUUCAGGAAACUGGGGCUAAUACCGGAUAGGAGCUCCUGCUGCAUGGUGGGGGUUGGAAAGUUUCGGCGGUUGGGGAUGGACUCGCGGCUUAUCAGCUUGUUGGUGGGGUAGUGGCUUACCAAGGCUUUGACGGGUAGCCGGCCUGAGAGGGUGACCGGCCACAUUGGGAGUGGGAUGCGGCGCGGCCUCCAGGGGGAGGCAGCGGGGGGAAAUAGUACAGAAGGGGGGGAGGCCGGAUGCAGCAACGCCGUGUGGGGGAGAGGGGCCUGGGGUUUGUAACCCUUUUGCGCCUGGGACGAAGGGUGGGAGAGGGUAGGGGAUAAAAAAGCCCCGGCAAACUAGGUG
This 468-nucleotide ribosomal RNA is filed under the name uncultured bacterium. RNAcentral describes it as "partial 16S ribosomal RNA". It matches the Rfam family "Bacterial small subunit ribosomal RNA", at positions 28 to 507 of the family's 1533-position model. The record is from RNAcentral.